UGACUGUGCUAAGGUAGCAUAAUAAUUUGUAAUUUAAUUGGUUACUAGAAUGAAUGGUCUGACGAAAAGUAACCUUUCUUAUGUAAAAAUUUAAAUUUAUCUAUUAGUAAAAAAGCUAAUAUUUAUUAAAUUGACGAUAAGACCCUAAAACCUUAAAUUAUAUUUUUACUGGGGCGGUAAAUUACUCAACAUAAUUUUUUUGAACAUAAUGAAUGAAUUUAACUUUCUAUCUUUAAAUCCAAAAAGGUACUUUAGGGAUAACAGUAUAAUUCUUAUAGAGAGUAUCUUAUCGACAUAAGAGAUUAUAACCUCGAUGUUGAAUUGAUAUACCAUUACUAAGCAACCAUAGUAGAUGUGAGUCUGUUCGACUUUUUAAAUAUCACGUGAUCUGAGUUCAGACCGGAGCACAGUCAGA
This 415-nucleotide ribosomal RNA is filed under the name Hemilepistus klugii. RNAcentral's name for it is "partial large subunit ribosomal RNA". It matches the Rfam family "Bacterial large subunit ribosomal RNA", at positions 1943 to 2630 of the family's 2925-position model. Lineage: Eukaryota; Metazoa; Arthropoda; Malacostraca; Isopoda; Agnaridae. The record is from RNAcentral.